GAUGAACGCUGGCGGCGUGCCUAAUACAUGCAAGUCGAGCGAACAGAUGAGGAGCUUGCUCCUCUGACGUUAGCGGCGGGCGGGUGAGUAACACGUGGAUAACCUAUCUAUAAGACUGGGAUAACUUCGGGAAACCGGAGCUAAUACCGGAUAAUAUAGUGAACCGCAUGGUUCAAUAGUGAAAGACGGUUUUGCCGUCACUUAUAGAUGGAUCAGGGCCUGAUUAGCUAGUUGGUAAAGUAACGGCUUACCAAGGCAACGAUGCGUAGCCGACCUGAGGGGCUGCUCCGCCACCCUGGAACUGAGACACGGUCCAGACUCCUCCGGGAGCCAGCAGUAGCGAAUCUUCCGCAAUGGGCGCAAGCUUGACGGAGCCCCGCCGCGUGAGUGAUGAAGAUCUUCGGAUCGUAAAACUCUGUUAUUAGGAAAGAACAAAUGUGUAAUUAUCUAUGCACGUCUUGACGGUACCUAAUCAGACAGCUCCGUCUACCUUCGUG
Molecule: ribosomal RNA, 497 nt
Filed under: uncultured bacterium
Lineage: Bacteria
Description: partial 16S ribosomal RNA
Rfam family: Bacterial small subunit ribosomal RNA
Source: RNAcentral